GAUGAACGCUGGCGGCGUGCCUAAUACAUGCAAGUCGAGCGAACGGACGAGAAGCUUGCUUCUCUGAUGUUAGCGGCGGACGGGUGAGUAACACGUGGAUAACCUACCUAUAAGACUGGGAUAACUUCGGGAAACCGGAGCUAAUACCGGAUAAUAUUUUGAACCGCAUGGUUCAAAAGUGAAAGACGGUCUUGCUGUCACUUAUAGAUGGAUCCGCGCUGCAUUAGCUAGUUGGUAAGGUAACGGCUUACCAAGGCAACGAUGCAUAGCCGACCUGAGAGGGUGAUCGGCCACACUGGAACUGAGACACGGUCCAGACUCCUACGGGAGGCAGCAGUAGGGAAUCUUCCGCAAUGGGCGAAAGCCUGACGGAGCAACGCCGCGUGAGUGAUGAAGGUCUUCGGAUCGUAAAACUCUGUUAUUAGGGAAGAACAUAUGUGUAAGUAACUGUGCACAUCUUGACGGUACCUAAUCAGAAAGCCACGGCUAACUACGUGCCAGCAGCCGCGGUAAUACGUAGGUGGCAAGCGUUAUCCGGAAUUAUUGGGCGUAAAGCGCGCGUAGGCGGUUUUUUAAGUCUGAUGUGAAAGCCCACGGCUCAACCGUGGAGGGUCAUUGGAAACCGGAAAACUUGAGUGCAGAAGAGGAAAGUGGAAUUCCAUAUGUAGCGGUGAAAUGCGCAGAGAUAUGGAGGAACACCAGUGGCGAAGGCGACUUUCUGGUCUGUAACUGACGCUGAUGUGCGAAAGCGUGGGGAUCAAACAGGAUUAGAUACCCUGGUAGUCCACGCCGUAAACGAUGAGUGCUAAGUGUUAGGGGGUUUCCGCCCCUUAGUGCUGCAGCUAACGCAUUAAGCACUCCGCCUGGGGAGUACGACCGCAAGGUUGAAACUCAAAGGAAUUGACGGGGACCCGCACAAGCGGUGGAGCAUGUGGUUUAAUUCGAAGCAACGCGAAGAACCUUACCAAAUCUUGACAUCCUUUGACAACUCUAGAGAUAGAGCUUUCCCCUUCGGGGGACAAAGUGACAGGUGGUGCAUGGUUGUCGUCAGCUCGUGUCGUGAGAUGUUGGGUUAAGUCCCGCAACGAGCGCAACUCUUAAGCUUAGUUGCCAUCAUUAAGUUGGGCACUCUAAGUUGACUGCCGGUGACAAACCGGAGGAAGGUGGGGAUGACGUCAAAUCAUCAUGCCCCUUAUGAUUUGGGCUACACACGUGCUACAAUGGACAAUACAAAGGGCAGCGAAACCGCGAGGUCAAGCAAAUCCCAUAAAGUUGUUCUCAGUUCGGAUUGUAGUCUGCAACUCGACUACAUGAAGCUGGAAUCGCUAGUAAUCGUAGAUCAGCAUGCUACGGUGAAUACGUUCCCGGGUCU
Molecule: ribosomal RNA, 1372 nt
Filed under: uncultured bacterium
Lineage: Bacteria
Description: bacterial SSU rRNA
Rfam family: Bacterial small subunit ribosomal RNA
Source: RNAcentral